This 291-nucleotide ribosomal RNA is filed under the name uncultured Flavobacterium sp. RNAcentral describes it as "partial 16S ribosomal RNA". It matches the Rfam family "Bacterial small subunit ribosomal RNA", at positions 505 to 796 of the family's 1533-position model. The record is from RNAcentral. Lineage: Bacteria; Pseudomonadati; Bacteroidota; Flavobacteriia; Flavobacteriales; Flavobacteriaceae.
GUGUCAGCCGCCGCGGUAAUACGGAGGAUCCAAGCGUUAUCCGGAAUCAUUGGGUUUAAAGGGUCCGUAGGCGGUUUAAUAAGUCAGUGGUGAAAGCCCAUCGCUCAACGGUGGAACGGCCAUUGAUACUGUUAACUUGAAUUAUUAGGAAGUAACUAGAAUAUGUAGUGUAGCGGUGAAAUGCUUAGAGAUUAUAUGGAAUACCAAUUGCGAAGGCAGGUUACUACUAAUGGAUUGACGCUGAUGGACGAAAGCGUGGGUAGCGAACAGGAUUAGAAACCCCGGUAGUCC